AAGUCGUAACAAGGUUUCCGUAGGUGAACCUGCGGAAGGAUCAUUAUUGAAUAUUCUUGAUGGGUUGUAGCUGGCUCUUCGGGGCAUGUGCACGCUUGUCUUGACUCUAUUCAUCCACCUGUGCACCUUUUGUAGUCUUGGGGGUUGAGAUCAGUCAACUAUCGGAUAGCUAUAUAGCUUUUCCGGAUGUGAGGAAUGCUGAGUGCGAAAGCAUACAGCUCUUCUCAAAUGACUUGUAAACCUCUCCUUCAAGUACUAUGUAUUCAUAUACCACAUAGUAUGUUGUAGAAUGUGAUCAAUGGGCCUAUGUGCCUAUAAUAAUCAUAUACAACUUUCAGCAACGGAUCUCUUGGCUCUC
This 358-nucleotide unclassified non-coding RNA is filed under the name Holocotylon brandegeeanum. RNAcentral describes it as "partial internal transcribed spacer region". The stretch from base 1 to 46 matches the Rfam family "Eukaryotic small subunit ribosomal RNA", at positions 1786 to 1831 of the family's 1831-position model. The record is from RNAcentral. Lineage: Eukaryota; Fungi; Basidiomycota; Agaricomycetes; Agaricales; Lycoperdaceae. RNAcentral also lists the same sequence under 1 other name.